This 383-nucleotide unclassified non-coding RNA is filed under the name uncultured Armatimonadota bacterium. RNAcentral describes it as "uncultured Armatimonadetes bacterium contains 16S-23S intergenic spacer region". Lineage: Bacteria; Bacillati; Armatimonadota. The record is from RNAcentral.
UCCGGCUUACACCGGCGGUCUCCUGUGAGUCCCCGACUCUACUCGCUGGUAACACAGGACGAGGGUUGCGCUCGUUGGCGGACUUAACCGUACACCUCACGGCACGAGCUGACGACAGCCAUGCAACAAGUGUCUUCACGUCCCCCUUUUGGGGGGAGGGCCCUAUCUCUAAGGCUUGCGAUCGAUGUCAAACCUGGGUAAGGUUCUUCGGUUAGUAUCGAAUUAAUCCACAUGCUCCACCGCUUGUGCGGGUCCCCGUCAAUUCAUUUGAGUUUCAACCUUGCGGCCGUACUCCCCAGGCGGGAUACUUAAUGCGUUAGCUGCGGCACUGGAGGGGUCGAUACCUCCAACGCCUAGUAUCCAUCGUUUAGGGCGUGGACUAC